AAUGCACUAGUGAAACCCAAUGCCAACGAUGCCCAAGUCCUCAUGUGGCGACCCAAGAGAGGCCAGCCUAUUGUCGGUAUUUUGGCUGGAAAAGAAGCUUUCUUACCAGAACAAUUCAUAUUCUCUUGCAGUAAAAUGCAAGGAGCAAGAAUAUGAUCAAACAGUGCCUGUGGCAAAUGCUGCUUCCCAACCAAUUUAGAUGUAGAAAUGGAGACCAUGCCUACCAAUGGCGUUUCUGUCUCCCUAGCUUUGGAUUUCCUAUGGCACCAUUGAAUUCAAGCUCUCUACAAUAAAAUAUGAAGCAAACAAGAACAUGUUGCAGGGGAGGCCCUUCAGCUCUGAAGGUAUCCAGAGCUAUGACAACAGACAGCUGUGCCUGUCGCUGAGUUCCACUGGCAGCAUGAAAUUACCACCCUGAAAGCAGCUCUUGAAGCAGUGCCAGCUGCCCAGAAGCAGGAAGCACCAUGAGCCUCACAAGAGAGCCUGUUCUUACUCGCUGUCUAGGCAAAUUGAUGUUGAGCCUGGAGUGAGAAUUUAAAACCAUUGCCACUGAAAGCCACAUGCCUGCCUGAGACCAUUUAGAGCUGUGCUGUGGCAACUGUGCAUUGAAACCCUGACGCCUGUCGCACACCCUUUAUGCCAAGGGUGUCAAACUAGUUGGGCCUCAUAGGCCAGAUCCAGAUCAUAAAGUGUCCUGCAAGCCAGAUAACCUGUGAGUGAUAGUGGUGGCAUUAAUCUCCUCACUGUUUUGGUGUGCCUCUGCUGCUUGCCCCUUCUUUUCCCCUGCUGCUGAUUUUAGUCACCAGGGAUGACUAAAAACCCCAACUGUGGCAGCACAUAAGGACUAGGGAGUAAGGGAGGCAAACAGUGUUAACUCCUGAGUUCUGAAGCUGUGGUGAAACAGCAAGGAUUAAUGCCACCACCACAAGGACUCUGGCAGCUCGUGGCAUUGAGUCCUAUAGGCCAUAUCUGGCCCACAGAGAUGUGUUGUCCAUCCCAUGA
Molecule: RNA transcript, 1002 nt
Organism: Alligator sinensis (Chinese alligator)
Lineage: Eukaryota; Metazoa; Chordata; Crocodylia; Alligatoridae
Gene name: protein FAM78B
Exons: 4
Source: RefSeq, a predicted model, not a curated record